This is a non-coding RNA of Stegodyphus mimosarum, 73 nucleotides long. NCBI's taxonomy places the organism in Eukaryota, Metazoa, Arthropoda, Arachnida, Araneae, Eresidae. The record is from Rfam.
GUCUUUGUGGUGUAGUGGGAAACACACUCGACGCGUAUUCGAGAGGUCUGAGGUUCGAGUCCCGGCGAGGGCA